Panicum virgatum (switchgrass) is the source of this 1006-nucleotide RNA transcript. RefSeq lists it as uncharacterized. The transcript is spliced from 4 exons. NCBI's taxonomy places the organism in Eukaryota, Viridiplantae, Streptophyta, Magnoliopsida, Poales, Poaceae. The record is from RefSeq and is a predicted model, not a curated record.
GGUCUUCUCUAUUGCCUGUCACCCUCGCUCCCCAUGCCGUCGACGGACGGUGGCGCUCUGGCCCAACCCCACAACCAUCGUCUUCUGCCAGCUUGGAUGCGAGUGGAGGCAAAAGGAAGAUGCACGUCGCGCUAGCUUGGAUGCGAGCCCGUGGCUCUAGCUCCCCCUAACGAGCCGCGCACCCCAUCCCUAGGCCCAGAUCCCGUCCUCCCUACGCAGGCUUGUGCGUCGCCGGCAAUGGAGGUCGCAUACUCCUCCUCGCUCACCUCUCCGUACCGAAUGUCGACAUCAAAUCUGGUUUUUCCUAGUGGCGGUGGCCUCAAUACUGGUGCCUACAGACCUGGCGUCCGAGUCCGUCACUCCGGCUCUUCCCGCACCCCCUGCCCGGCGGCCCCUUGCUCCGUUCUGCUCGCCUGUCCAAUAUGCGCCACUCUGGAGUCUGGACUGGCCAAACUGGAAGGCAGCGACUUGUCGGCAGAGUAGAGGCAAGGCAAGAGGAGGCCAUCUUCACAUCCACUCCUUCAACUGCUACCUGUGGUAGAACAAAAAGAUUGCAUUCUCCUGUGACCUCUUGCAUCUUGGACCUUCAAUAAUCUGUUGAGCUGUUCGUGCAAUGUUUCAUUUGACUGAUAAUACUGAGAUAAACAUGUGAUGCACACUGAUUGCCAUAUAUAAGCUACUGCAGUAUAAUACUAAUAUAACUCACUAGGUAAUUGAUUUGAUGCUAAUUAGUUAUAAGUGACUUUGUUUAAUUCUGCAAAUGUUCUUUUUAGACUGCAGCAUUUCUUUCCUGUACGGCCAUUUGUUGCUUGGUUAAAAUAAUGAAAGACAGAUUAUCAAAAUGGUUGGUGGAAACUUGCAACCUUAGUGGCUGCUCACGAGUUUGUUACGGGUCUGUCAAGCAGGUGUGCUCAAGCACGCAGCAAUCCCAGGUCUUUCAAUCGUUGAAAGAUGCUGUUCUUCUCACAAAAUAAAAUACAAUUGAAUCGCGAAAGAAAAGGUGAUA